This 361-nucleotide unclassified non-coding RNA is filed under the name Bombus terrestris (buff-tailed bumblebee). RNAcentral's name for it is "misc RNA ENSBTSG00005025260.1". The record is from RNAcentral. Lineage: Eukaryota; Metazoa; Arthropoda; Insecta; Hymenoptera; Apidae.
AUCGAAUAUGAGCUGGAGAAUCAUUCCGCGAGAGCGAAGCUCGCAUUAAAAAGAAUACCAGAGAUUCGUGCCAUUUGCGAAUGCAUCGGCAAUGCCUGCUGCUUCAUUCUGAUAAUACACGACCGUUUAAUCCAUGAGCCGGCGCGUAAUGAGAGAUGAAAAUAGAGAAGCAACUUUCAAAUCGUUCUGAAGGAGGUUCCCCAUGUAGACCACAAGAUUGGACGGAUUUAUCAAGCGCCCGACUACAAGUAUGAAAUUAUUAUUCUCGACAAUUCUUCGUCGUCACCAACAGGGGGUUGGUCUACUCAGCCAGCAAAGAGGGAUUAUUUAACCAAAUCUAGCCAAAACGAGUUCCUUUUUC